Molecule: unclassified non-coding RNA, 3042 nt
Filed under: Hevea brasiliensis (rubber tree)
Lineage: Eukaryota; Viridiplantae; Streptophyta; Magnoliopsida; Malpighiales; Euphorbiaceae
Source: RNAcentral
UACAACCCUACCACCAGGAAAACUAGCCGUUACACAGAGCGUCCAAAAUCUUCAACGUUCCUUUUCUUCAUCUAUUCCCCAUUUCAUCGAUCAAUCAAAGAAACCCAAUUCUAUCUUCGUCUCUCUCCUUAUCAAACAUUCAAAAUCUCCAAUUUCUUUUAUUUUCUCCACUGAUUCAUUUGUGUUUUCAGCUGUUUCUUUUUUCCCAUGGAUUUCAGCACCAAAUGUUCAAAAUCAGUUACCCCGGUGAAAGAUACUCAUGGGUUUCAAACCAAGAUUCAAGAAAUCUCCAAAAUUUCUGAGAAUUCAAACCCCAACGUUUCAUAUUCAAGCCCUGGUGCAAAACCCACAAAUUCCCCACUGAUCAAAUCUGCAAAAUCCCAAAAAACAGCAUCAAAGAAUCCAAUUAUCAAUCACAAUGCGGUCCCUUACUCCCCUAGAAACAAGAUUAGGGAAAGGAAGUUUGUGGUGGCAAAGAAGAAUUCAAGGAAGGGGAAAGUGAAUUCAACUUCAACGGUGGACUGCAAAUGCAAAGAGAAAUUUGGAGGUAAUUUAAUCAAGUGUCUGUGUGUUGCCUAUGAGACAUUAAGAGCUUCCCAGGAAGAGUUUUUUAAGAAUCGAGAUGGCAUCGAACAGAAAAACGAAAUGGAUAAAGGAAAAACCAGUGAUUAUAAAGAUGAAAGUGAAGGUGAAGAGGAGGAGAUAGAGAAGGGAUUUACGGGUCAAAAGGAUGAGACUGAAAGUGGGUAUGGUUCGGAUAAUCAAAGUUUGGGUGAGAGUGAGCAAUCAGGUCAAGUGGGUAUUUCUACAAUUAAAAGAAGAAGAGACAAGCUACUGGAACAAGCAAGAAAUAGUGUACCUGAAUCUGGGAUGGUGAUGCAUCUGGUUAAGGCUUUUGAGCAGCUACGAACGAUACCAGAUGCGAAGGACUCUGAUAAGAAGGAAGAGGAGAAGAUUAAGGAGGAGAAGAAGAAAGUAACGCAAUGGGCACUGCCCGGAUUACAGUAUCCUAAAGUGCCAGAGAUUCAGACUAAUUAUUCAUGUACAUUGCCUGAAUUCCAGUCUUCUAACGUGGCCGAAAUGCAGGAUUCUCCUUCUUCAUUAUGCCCAUCGGAUUUGUUUCUGACUUCUGAGAAUCUGGGUUUGGAUCCAAGGCUUUCUGUUUCCUCAUCGUCGGACAGCAGUCAAGGCAGUAUUUCUAGCAGGACUUCUAAUGGAGGUCGGAGAAGCCGAAGAAAUAGCUCCGAGUCAUGUGGAACAAUGGGUGGGAGGAGAUGGAAGAAGAAGCAACUGAAGAUCACAUGUCAAAAGCCAUUUAAGCUAAGGACAGAGCAAAGAGGAAGAAUGAAGGAGGAGGAGUUCAUGAAAAAGUUACAGGAAACGAUGACUGAAGAGGACAAGCAGCGGAUUCCUAUCGCGCAAGGCCUUCCUUGGACAACAGAUGAACCAGAGGUGAGUUUGUCAAUUGCUAAAAUCAAGUGGGAAUACAGAGGUGGGGCUUUAUAAUCUAAACAAAAUUAAGUCAAUUUAUUUUUUUCUUGUCUUGCUCUGAAUACUAUUUUGCUACAAAGAGCUCAUUCAACUCAUAUAUAUAAAUAUAUAUAUAUAGAUGUUAAACUCACAUGAGUGUGCAUUAAAAUAAAUGAUUAUCUUAUGCAUCCUUAGUUAUGAGAAAAUAUGCACUUAAACCUUUGUUUUGUUUUGUUCAUACUUGAGCUUGGUCUAUGUUAUUUCAGUGUCUAAUCAAACCUCUAGUAAGAGAGAACACCAGGCCCAUUGACCUUAAGCUACAUAGUGAUAUUCGGGCAGUGGAGCGAGCUGAGUUUGACCAGCAGGUAAUUUUUUUUAACUACUUUAGUAUUCUUGCAAAUAUAUUUAUGCUUUACUCUCUCUUUAUGGUUAAAUUUCUAGUAGCUAAAUAAAGUUUGAAUUCUGGUUGGGAAUGAUCUUGCUAGUUGGGAUGCAUCAAUCCUUGAAAGUUAACAGUUUGUGUGAUAUCAGGUAGCUGAGAAGUUGAGCCUUAUUGAGCAAUACAAGAUGGAAAGAGAAAGGCAGCAAAAGGUAAUUCAAAUAUAAAAGGCAUGAUAUUGAGUUAUUGGUGUUUCCUGACUAAAAUAUUUACACUAGUCUUUUUCCUCCUGUAGAUGGCAGAAGAGGAAGAAAUAAGCAGAUUGAGGAAGGAGCUUGUUCCAAAAGCACAACCUAUGCCCUAUUUCGACCGGCCCUUCAUUCCCAGAAGGUAAAGGUUUAUCUGGUUUGUUUAUUUGGAAGUUUAAGGAAUGCCUCACCCAGAAUGAAGCAUUUAUUUAUUUUUAUACUCAGCUUAGAAUGAGUUAUACACAGUAACUGUUUUCACUGUUAUUAUGUACAACAGGGCAAGGUAUGCAGAACCUUUUCUUGUUAAUUAAAAACCAUAGCAUGUGCAUGUCUUCAGUUUGGCUCAUGUCUUGUGCCAUAUGAAGCUUUCUUUUGCUGAGUGAGCUAAUCUGUUGCAAUUUUAGUGAAGCAUUUUCACGAAUAAGGCCUUACUUAUGUUUUUGGCUUGAGUGAAGGUCAAUGAAGCAUCCAACUGUGCCUAAAGAGCCAAAGUUUCACAUACCGCAACAUAAGAAGAUUAAAUGCUGUUUAUCAUGGAACGACCUCAGCACCUUUACUUACCAACAGUGAAGCAACAAAAGGCCAAGAUAUAAGAAUAGAAGCAUUUCAGACAUCAUCAUUCCUUGUCAUGAUUCUUUUCUUGUAUCAUCUGUACAUGAAGCAAACAAUUUAGUUGCAAUUCAAACCUUUGGUUUGUUUAUAGUGAAAUUAUGAAAAAUCCUGGGGGGGAUUUGAAUGAAUUUCUCUUCAUUUUGCUUGUCCCAGCUUCCACUGUCGAACUAUAAAUGCAGUGGUUGUGUUGUUCUUUGCUGGGUAUGGGAUAGCUCAUAGACAAUUGUAAUUCAUCAUGGACAAGAUUUACUCAAACAUAAAAUAAGCUAAGGCUUUUUCAGCCUAUAAAAUGUAACCUACAUUUAUAGUUGCAAACAAUUCAUUAAGUCUGAU